AGUGAACGCUGGCGGUAGGCCUAACACAUGCAAGUCGAACGGCAGCACAGUAAGAGCUUUCUCUUACGGGUGGCGAGUGGCGGACGGGUGAGGAAUACAUCGGAAUCUACUUUUUCUUGGGGGAUAACGUAGGGAAACUUACGCUAAUACCGCAUACUACCUACGGGUUAAAUCAGGGGAGCUUCGGACCUUGCGCGACUGAAUGAGCCGAGGUCGGAUUACCUAGGUGGCGGGGUAAAGUCCCCCCAAGGCAACGAUCCGUAGCUGGCCUGAGAGGAGGGUCGGCCACCCUGAAACUGGGACACGGUCCAGAUCCGUAGGGAAGGCAGCAUUGGGGAAUAUUGGACAAUGGGCGAAAGCCUGAGCCAGCAAUACGGCGUAGGUGAAGAAGGCUUUCGGGUGGUAAAGCCCUUUUGUUGGGAAAGAAAAGCAGGAGGUUAAUACCCCGCUGUUCUGACGGUACCAAAAGAAUAAGCACCGGCUAACUUCGU
RNAcentral lists this ribosomal RNA (491 nucleotides) under uncultured bacterium. RNAcentral describes it as "partial 16S ribosomal RNA". It matches the Rfam family "Bacterial small subunit ribosomal RNA", at positions 29 to 506 of the family's 1533-position model. The record is from RNAcentral.